UACAGAGGGUGCGAGCGUUAAUCGGAAUUACUGGGCGUAAAGCGUGCGUAGACGGUUAUUUAAGUCGGGUGUGAAAGCCCCGGGCUCAACCUGGGAAUUGCAUUCGAGACUGAAUAGCUAGGGUACGGUAGAGGGAAGUGGAAUUUCCGGUGUAGCGGUGAAAUGCGCAGAUAUCGGGAAGAACACCCGUGGCGAAGGCGGCUCUCUGGGACGGUACUGACGCUGAGACGCGAAAGCGUGGGGAGCGAACAGG
RNAcentral lists this ribosomal RNA (253 nucleotides) under uncultured bacterium. RNAcentral's name for it is "partial 16S ribosomal RNA". It matches the Rfam family "Bacterial small subunit ribosomal RNA", at positions 524 to 776 of the family's 1533-position model. The record is from RNAcentral.